UACGUAGGGUGCAGGCGUUAAUCGGAAUUACUGGGCGUAAAGCGUGCGCAGGCGGUUUCUUAAGUCAGAUGUGAAAGCCCCGGGCUUAACCUGGGAACUGCGUUUGAAACUGGGAGACUAGAGUGUGGCAGAGGGGGGUGGAAUUCCACGUGUAGCAGUGAAAUGCGUAGAUAUGCGGAGGAACACCGAUGGCGAAGGCAAUCCCCUGGGCCUGUACUGACGCUCAUGCACGAAAGCGUGGGGAGCAAACAGG
RNAcentral lists this ribosomal RNA (253 nucleotides) under uncultured bacterium. RNAcentral's name for it is "partial 16S ribosomal RNA". It matches the Rfam family "Bacterial small subunit ribosomal RNA", at positions 524 to 776 of the family's 1533-position model. The record is from RNAcentral.